GAUGAACGCUGGCGGCGUGCUUAACACAUGCAAGUCGAGCGAAGCGCUUAAGUUUGAUUCUUCGGAUGAAGACUUUUGUGACUGAGCGGCGGACGGGUGAGUAACGCGUGGGUAACCUGCCUCAUACAGGGGGAUAACAGUUAGAAAUGACUGCUAAUACCGCAUAAGACCACGGUACCGCAUGGUACAGUGGUAAAAACUCCGGUGGUAUGAGAUGGACCCGCGUCUGAUUAGGUAGUUGGUGGGGUAACGGCCUACCAAGCCGACGAUCAGUAGCCGACCUGAGAGGGUGACCGGCCACAUUGGGACUGAGACACGGCCCAGACUCCUACGGGAGGCAGCAGUGGGGAAUAUUGCACAAUGGAGGAAACUCUGAUGCAGCGACGCCGCGUGAAGGAUGAAGUAUUUCGGUAUGUAAACUUCUAUCAGCAGGGAAGAAAAUGACGGUACCUGACUAAGAAG
RNAcentral lists this ribosomal RNA (462 nucleotides) under uncultured bacterium. RNAcentral's name for it is "bacterial SSU rRNA". It matches the Rfam family "Bacterial small subunit ribosomal RNA", at positions 28 to 490 of the family's 1533-position model. The record is from RNAcentral.